Molecule: ribosomal RNA, 477 nt
Filed under: Enterococcus faecalis
Lineage: Bacteria; Bacillati; Bacillota; Bacilli; Lactobacillales; Enterococcaceae
Description: bacterial SSU rRNA
Rfam family: Bacterial small subunit ribosomal RNA
Source: RNAcentral
UGCAAGUCGAACGCUUCUUUCCUCCCGAGUGCUUGCACUCAAUUGGAAAGAGGAGUGGCGGACGGGUGAGUAACACGUGGGUAACCUACCCAUCAGAGGGGGAUAACACUUGGAAACAGGUGCUAAUACCGCAUAACAGUUUAUGCCGCAUGGCAUAAGAGUGAAAGGCGCUUUCGGGUGUCGCUGAUGGAUGGACCCGCGGUGCAUUAGCUAGUUGGUGAGGUAACGGCUCACCAAGGCCACGAUGCAUAGCCGACCUGAGAGGGUGAUCGGCCACACUGGGACUGAGACACGGCCCAGACUCCUACGGGAGGCAGCAGUAGGGAAUCUUCGGCAAUGGACGAAAGUCUGACCGAGCAACGCCGCGUGAGUGAAGAAGGUUUUCGGAUCGUAAAACUCUGUUGUUAGAGAAGAACAAGGACGUUAGUAACUGAACGUCCCCUGACGGUAUCUAACCAGAAAGCCACGGCUAACUAC